Molecule: ribosomal RNA, 468 nt
Filed under: uncultured bacterium
Lineage: Bacteria
Description: partial 16S ribosomal RNA
Rfam family: Bacterial small subunit ribosomal RNA
Source: RNAcentral
GACGAACGCUGGCGGCGUGCUUAACACAUGCAGGUCGAACGGAAAGGCCCUGCUUUUGUGGGGUGCUCGAGUGGCGAACGGGUGAGUAACACGUGAGUAACCUGCCCUUGACUUUGGGAUAACUUCAGGAAACUGGGGCUAAUACCGGAUAGGAGCUCCUGCUGCAUGGUGGGGGUUGGAAAGUUUCGGCGGUUGGGGAUGGACUCGCGGCUUAUCAGCUUGUUGGUGGGGUAGUGGCUUACCAAGGCUUUGACGGGUAGCCGGCCUGAGAGGGUGACCGGCCACAUUGGGACUGAGAGACGGCCCAGAAUCCUACGGGAGGCAGCAGUGGGGAAUAUUGCACAAUGGGCGGAAGCAUGAUGCAGCAACGCCGCGUGCGGGAUGACGGCCUUCGGGUUGUAAACCGCUUUCGCAUGUGACGAAGCGUGAGUGACGGUAAUGGGUAAAGAAGCACCGGCUAACUACGUG